Molecule: long non-coding RNA, 392 nt
Organism: Nilaparvata lugens (brown planthopper)
Lineage: Eukaryota; Metazoa; Arthropoda; Insecta; Hemiptera; Delphacidae
Exons: 3
Source: RefSeq, a predicted model, not a curated record
AAUUAAUUUGCAGUAGAAAAUUGAGGUAUAAAAUAUUUCUAUUGGUUUCUUUAUUCUUAUAAUUUUUACAAGAGAAAUUGAAAAUGGAUUUACUACAGAAAGGUGUGAAAUUUGUUAUAAAUUUGAUGCGACAGUUCAAAGUUUUGUACUUUCCAGACCUGCACAACGAAUUACCUAUUUGAAAAAUAGAAUAUGGUUAAAAAUUGCUGAUGUGAUAGAGAAUUCAAGUACCAUUUACAAACAAAAUAUUGAAGAGAAUGUGCUCAAAGGAAAUGCAUAUGAAUUCAUUUUUGUUGACCAGGAUGGAAAAAUUCUUUGGAACCCAUAGAUAGAAUAAGUUAGUUAGGCCUAGUGGUGUACCAGCCAGAAGUAGAGGAUGACAAAGAAAAUCA